RNAcentral lists this ribosomal RNA (543 nucleotides) under Sporisorium sp. DMKU-SP28. Its description in RNAcentral is "LSU rRNA". It matches the Rfam family "Eukaryotic large subunit ribosomal RNA", at positions 124 to 648 of the family's 3401-position model. Lineage: Eukaryota; Fungi; Basidiomycota; Ustilaginomycetes; Ustilaginales; Ustilaginaceae. The record is from RNAcentral.
GGCGUCUUCGGCGUCCGCAUUGUAAUCUCAAGAAGUGUUUUCCGCUUCGGACCAUGCCUAAGUCCCUUGGAAAAGGGCAUCAUAGAGGGUGAUAAUCCCGUACAUGGCAUGGAGCGCCCGAGGCUUUGUGAUACGCUUUCUAAGAGUCGAGUUGUUUGGGAAUGCAGCUCAAAAUGGGUGGUAAAUGCCAUCUAAGGCUAAAUAUUGGGGAGAGACCGAUAGCGAACAAGUACAGUGAUGGAAAGAUGAAAAGAACUUUGAAAAGAGAGUUAAACAGUACGUGAAAUUGCCAAAAGGGAAGGGUAGGAGGUCAGAGAUGCGUCUUGGGAUUCAGCCUUGCUUUUGCUUGGUGUUUUUCCCAAGUUGCAGGCCAACGUCGGUUUUGGGCACUGGAGAAGGGUGGAAGGAACGUGGCACCUCUCGGGGUGUGUUAUAGCCUUCUACUGGAUACAGCGACCGAGACCGAGGACAGCAGCGUACUCGCAAGAGCGGGCCUUCGGGCACCUUUACGCUUAGGGCGUUGGCAUAAUGGCCCUCUACCAC